Molecule: ribosomal RNA, 464 nt
Filed under: uncultured bacterium
Lineage: Bacteria
Description: partial 16S ribosomal RNA
Rfam family: Bacterial small subunit ribosomal RNA
Source: RNAcentral
CGGGGGGCUGCAGCAGUGGGGAAUAUUGCACAAUGGGCGCAAGCCUGAUGCAGCCAUGCCGCGUGUAUGAAGAAGGCCUUCGGGUUGUAAAGUACUUUCAGCGGGGAGGAAGGGAGUAAAGUUAAUACCUUUGCUCAUUGACGUUACCCGCAGAAGAAGCACCGGCUAACUCCGUGCCAGCAGCCGCGGUAAUACGGAGGGUGCAAGCGUUAAUCGGAAUUACUGGGCGUAAAGCGCACGCAGGCGGUUUGUUAAGUCAGAUGUGAAAUCCCCGGGCUCAACCUGGGAACUGCAUCUGAUACUGGCAAGCUUGAGUCUCGUAGAGGGGGGUAGAAUUCCAGGUGUAGCGGUGAAAUGCGUAGAGAUCUGGAGGAAUACCGGUGGCGAAGGCGGCCCCCUGGACGAAGACUGACGCUCAGGUGCGAAAGCGUGGGGAGCAAACAGGAUUAGAUACCCGCGUAGUC